UUGGUUAAAGCCAAAAAGAGGCAUAUCACUGUUAAUGAUUGAAAUGAAGUAUUACUUCUAACCAAG
RNAcentral lists this transfer RNA (66 nucleotides) under Sergia lucens. Its description in RNAcentral is "tRNA-Asn". RNAcentral also lists the same sequence under 1 other name. The record is from RNAcentral. Lineage: Eukaryota; Metazoa; Arthropoda; Malacostraca; Decapoda; Sergestidae.